RNAcentral lists this ribosomal RNA (137 nucleotides) under uncultured bacterium. RNAcentral describes it as "partial 16S ribosomal RNA". It matches the Rfam family "Bacterial small subunit ribosomal RNA", at positions 355 to 509 of the family's 1533-position model. The record is from RNAcentral.
UGGGGAAUAUUGCAAAAUGGGGGAAACCCUGAUGCAGCGACGCCGCGUGAAGGAAGAAGUAUCUCGGUAUGUAAACUUCUAUCAGCAGGGAAGAUAGUGACGGUACCUGACUAAGAAGCCCCGGCUAACUACGUGCC